This 253-nucleotide ribosomal RNA is filed under the name uncultured bacterium. RNAcentral describes it as "partial 16S ribosomal RNA". It matches the Rfam family "Bacterial small subunit ribosomal RNA", at positions 524 to 776 of the family's 1533-position model. The record is from RNAcentral.
UACGGGGGGUGCGAGCGUUGUCCGGAAUCACUGGGCGUAAAGGGCGCGUAGGUGGUUUGAUAAGGGUGUGGUGAAAGUCCGGAGCUCAACUCCGGAUCUGCCGUGCCGACUGUCAAACUCGAGGGCUGUAGAGGCAGACGGAAUUCCGGGUGUAGCGGUGGAAUGCGUAGAGAUCCGGAGGAAGACCGGUGGCGAAGGCGGUCUGCUGGGCAGCAACUGACGCUGAGGAGCGAAAGCGUGGGGAGCGAACAGG